UACGUAGGGUGCGAGCGUUAAUCGGAAUUACUGGGCGUAAAGGGUGCGCAGGCGGUUAUAUAAGACAGAUGUGAAAUCCCCGGGCUCAACCUGGGAAUUGCGUUGGAGACUGCAAGGCUGGAGUCUGGCAGAGGGGGGUAGAAUUCCACGUGUAGCAGUGAAAUGCGUAGAGAUGUGGAGGAACACCGAUGGCGAAGGCAGCCCCCUGGGUCAAGACUGACGCUCAUGCACGAAAGCGUGGGGAGCAAACAGG
RNAcentral lists this ribosomal RNA (253 nucleotides) under uncultured bacterium. RNAcentral's name for it is "partial 16S ribosomal RNA". It matches the Rfam family "Bacterial small subunit ribosomal RNA", at positions 524 to 776 of the family's 1533-position model. The record is from RNAcentral.